UGUGAUAAAAGUUAACACACAAAUUAAACCCUCUUGUUGACAAUUGUAGUAGAGAUGCAAGUAGGGAUGGUUCUAAACCGGGGAUUAGUAGAGAUUGCUAAAACACUUGAAACUGACUAAAAAACAUAAAACUAAGUUUAAAACCCUAAACUAGAUUAAAAAAGACUCAAUAUAAACUCACAAGACUCAAAACUAACUAGAAAGACUCAAAACAGCACAAAACAAUGAAAUAGACACUAAACUGACUCUAGGGAGUUAUUUGGACGAAAUUAGGUUUUAGCUUGACUCAAGACACUUAACAACACAACUCAAAACAGAUUUUAACUAAUCUAACACUUCAAAGUAAAUGGGGAUUUGAUUUUGACGAAUUUGAAAACAAAACAAACAAAUUGUAAACUAAAAUAGAUUUUGGACGAAUCUGGGGAAUAAGGUGGAUGAUGGGCUAGCUAGAGGGUUCUUCUCCACACAUGACACACUUGCACAUAAACCAAUUUUCAGUUGUUCUUUCAACAAACUAUGAAACUCAACACCUCAGGUUAAUUAGGUCCACUUAAAUUAACCUUCAAGUUCUCCUUAAGUUAUUGAAUUGGAUGAUUGCAUACAACAAUUCAAAACAUUCUCUAAAAGUUCCCUACGUGAAUUGCACAAUAGAGACACAAUCAAAGAUCAUUAAGCAUCAAGAAAACUAUAAGUAUUGACGAGGCAAUUGUAACUAUGAUGAGCAUGAAACUCUUGCCAAGAAUUCAUUUAACGCAAUCAUUUAUAAGCGACCUUCACUAUUUGUGAAUAUAUGUUUGUAACUAUUAGGUGAAACUCCCUUAUAUUCUAGCAUCAUAUUCAUGCAUGCAAACUAAGUAUGCAUCCUUAAUAAAAAAACAUGAAUAAGUUAUCAAUCAAACAGUUAAACAAAUUGAAUUCACAAUUUAUGAAAUACAACCAAAGGUAAUAAAUUCAUAUUGCAAGCAUGUUCAUGGCUUUGAAUCUCCCCCUAGCCAAAAAGGGUUUAGUUCCUCAUAAUCGCAAAGCAAAGAUAAACAUAUUUAUUCAUUGAAAACAAAAGAAAGAAAACACCUAGACGCUCCAACGCUCCAAACUAAACAGCAAGCACGUCCACGAACUUUCCUCAUUCCUCCUUGUUGCUGCACAAGGUCUAGGGACAGGCUUUGGGGGUUAUGAAUGGUGUAGAAGGAUGGGGUUAAGGCUAGGAUAAGUGUAUGGUGCGGCAGGGGUUGUUUUAGGUCAGAAACUAUGGAGAAUGGUGAGGGAUGGCUGCAACAAAGAGGGAAAAAGGGUUUCUGGCAUGAAUUGUGAAUAUGGGAGGUGUGUGUUGCGGCAUAGAGUUAAUAUGAAUAUAUAUAGGGACAUAAAACCUUAGGGAAAUCAGAUUAGGCCUUGGACUUGGCAGAAAAUAAGGAUUAGGGCCCAAACAAUUAGAAUUCAAAGGGGAAAAGGCUUAAAAGGUGCGGCAGAUAUGUAGGAAAGAGAUUGGGCUUCUAGAAUGCCUUGCAAGGCAAGGAAAAAGGUUUCUAGAAGGGCUUAGGUUUGGCAAAGGUCCUAAAUCUGAAAGGGAUUGGUUUUCUUGUGCAACAAGGAUAGGAAAUGAAGGGAUAGGGCUUCUAGAAACCCACAAACCCAAGGAGAUGAACGACAAGGAUAGGGAAG
This 1662-nucleotide long non-coding RNA is filed under the name Malus domestica (apple). RNAcentral's name for it is "long non-coding RNA (MDOM_LNC003646)". The record is from RNAcentral. Lineage: Eukaryota; Viridiplantae; Streptophyta; Magnoliopsida; Rosales; Rosaceae.